AUAAUCCUGUAGUCGAAAAUGUUGUCUCUCUUGAGUGGAUCCUGAGUACGACGGAACACGUGAAAUUCCGUCGGAAUCUGGGAGGACCAUCUCCUAAGGCUAAAUACUCUCUAGUGACCGAUAGUGAACCAGUACCGUGAGGGAAAGGUGAAAAGCACCCCGGAAGGGGAGUGAAAUAGAACCUGAAACCGUGUGCUUACAAGUAGUCAGAGCCCGUUAAUGGGUGAUGGCGUGCCUUUUGUAGAAUGAACCGGCGAGUUACGAUUUGAUGCAAGGUUAAGCAGUAAAUGUGGAGCCGUAGCGAAAGCGAGUCUGAAUAGGGCGUUUAGUAUUUGGUCGUAGACCCGAAACCAGGUGAUCUACCCUUGGUCAGGUUGAAGUUCAGGUAACACUGAAUGGAGGACCGAACCGACUUACGUUGAAAAGUGAGCGGAUGAACUGAGGGUAGCGGAGAAAUUCCAAUCGAACCUGGAGAUAGCUGGUUCUCUCCGAAAUAGCUUUAGGGCUAGCCUCAAGUGAUGAUUAUUGGAGGUAGAGCACUGUUUGGACGAGGGGCCCCUCUCGGGUUACCGAAUUCAGACAAACUCCGAAUGCCAAUUAAUUUAACUUGGGAGUCAGAACAUGGGUGAUAAGGUCCGUGUUCGAAAGGGAAACAGCCCAGACCACCAGCUAAGGUCCCAAAAUAUAUGUUAAGUGGAAAAGGAUGUGGCGUUGCCCAGACAACUAGGAUGUUGGCUUAGAAGCAGCCAUCAUUUAAAGAGUGCGUAAUAGCUCACUAGUCGAGUGACACUGCGCCGAAAAUGUACCGGGGCUAAACAUAUUACCGAAGCUGUGGAUUGUCCUUUGGACAAUGGUAGGAGAGCGUUCUAAGGGCGUUGAAGCAUGAUCGUAAGGACAUGUGGAGCGCUUAGAAGUGAGAAUGCCGGUGUGAGUAGCGAAAGACGGGUGAGAAUCCCGUCCACCGAUUGACUAAGGUUUCCAGAGGAAGGCUCGUCCGCUCUGGGUUAGUCGGGUCCUAAGCUGAGGCCGACAGGCGUAGGCGAUGGAUAACAGGUUGAUAUUCCUGUACCACCUAUAAUCGUUUUAAUCGAUGGGGGGACGCAGUAGGAUAGGCGAAGCGUGCGAUUGGAUUGCACGUCUAAGCAGUAAGGCUGAGUAUUAGGCAAAUCCGGUACUCGUUAAGGCUGAGCUGUGAUGGGGAGAAGACAUUGAGUCUUCGAGUCGUUGAUUUCACACUGCCGAGAAAAGCCUCUAGAUAGAAAAUAGGUGCCCGUACCGCAAACCGACACAGGUAGUCAAGAUGAGAAUUCUAAGGUGAGCGAGCGAACUCUCGUUAAGGAACUCGGCAAAAUGACCCCGUAACUUCGGGAGAAGGGGUGCUCUUUAGGGUUAACGCCCAGAAGAGCCGCAGUGAAUAGGCCCAAGCGACUGUUUAUCAAAAACACAGGUCUCUGCUAAACCGUAAGGUGAUGUAUAGGGGCUGACGCCUGCCCGGUGCUGGAAGGUUAAGAGGAGUGGUUAGCUUCUGCGAAGCUACGAAUCGAAGCCCCAGUAAACGGCGGCCGUAACUAUAACGGUCCUAAGGUAGCGAAAUUCCUUGUCGGGUAAGUUCCGACCCGCACGAAAGGCGUAACGAUUUGGGCACUGUCUCAACGAGAGACUCGGUGAAAUCAUAGUACCUGUGAAGAUGCAGGUUACCCGCGACAGGACGGAAAGACCCCGUGGAGCUUUACUGUAGCCUGAUAUUGAAAUUCGGCACAGCUUGUACAGGAUAGGUAGGAGCCUUUGAAACGUGAGCGCUAGCUUACGUGGAGGCGCUGGUGGGAUACUACCCUAGCUGUGUUGGCUUUCUAACCCGCACCACUUAUCGUGGUGGGAGACAGUGUCAGGCGGGCAGUUUGACUGGGGCGGUCGCCUCCUAAAAGGUAACGGAGGCGCUCAAAGGUUCCCUCAGAAUGGUUGGAAAUCAUUCAUAGAGUGUAAAGGCAUAAGGGAGCUUGACUGCGAGACCUACAAGUCGAGCAGGGUCGAAAGACGGACUUAGUGAUCCGGUGGUUCCGCAUGGAAGGGCCAUCGCUCAACGGAUAAAAGCUACCCCGGGGAUAACAGGCUUAUCUCCCCCAAGAGUUCACAUCGACGGGGAGGUUUGGCACCUCGAUGUCGGCUCAUCGCAUCCUGGGGCUGUAGUCGGUCCCAAGGGUUGGGCUGUUCGCCCAUUAAAGCGGUACGCGAGCUGGGUUCAGAACGUCGUGAGACAGUUCGGUCCCUAUCCGUCGUGGGCGUAGGAAAUUUGAGAGGAGCUGUCCUUAGUACGAGAGGACCGGGAUGGACAUACCUCUGGUGUACCAGUUGUCGUGCCAACGGCAUAGCUGGGUAGCUAUGUGUGGACGGGAUAAGUGCUGAAAGCAUCUAAGCAUGAAGCCCCCCUCAAGAUGAGAUUUCCCAACUUCGGUUAUAAGAUCCCUCAAAGAUGAUGAGGUUAAUAGGUUCGAGGUGGAAGCAUGGUGACAUGUGGAGCUGACGAAUACUAAUCGAUCGAAGACUUAAUCAA
RNAcentral lists this ribosomal RNA (2551 nucleotides) under Staphylococcus aureus F48611. Its description in RNAcentral is "bacterial LSU rRNA". It matches the Rfam family "Bacterial large subunit ribosomal RNA", at positions 367 to 2925 of the family's 2925-position model. The record is from RNAcentral. Lineage: Bacteria; Bacillati; Bacillota; Bacilli; Caryophanales; Staphylococcaceae.